This is a non-coding RNA of Biomphalaria pfeifferi, 533 nucleotides long. NCBI's taxonomy places the organism in Eukaryota, Metazoa, Mollusca, Gastropoda, Planorbidae. The record is from the annotation of a GenBank genome assembly.
GACAUAUUACUAAUCUAAGCGUUGGUAAAAGUUACUUGUUAAAGCUAGUUAUUGUUUUAACAAAGUAAUUGUGUUUGUAACUUGUAAUGAAAAACUUAUCUUAGUGUCUAUGUAUUGAUCUGUUAAGAUUGUUAUUACAUAUAUAAAAGUGAUGACUAUAAGUCCAGCUGAGUUUUACUGACAUAGAGGAGAACACUUGGUCACUAAUGGCUUCCUAAAGAGGCAGCUAUAGGAGAACACUUGGUCAGUAAUGGCUUCUUAAAGAGGCAGCUGGAGAACUCUUACCAAGACAGAUGACAAAGAAAAGAUGACUUUUUAAGCUAACCCCAGACAGACAAAGCUUGAGAAAUCAAACAUGGUGGCUAUGGCAAUGGAGAUUAAAUAGGAAAAAGCCCUUAUAUUUAUGUUUUCAAAUAUUUAUCAGUAAUCUCUGAAUAUCUAGAAUGUAGAAUUAGAAUCUCUGUGUGCAUGAAAAUGAAUAUUUACUUGUUUACUCAUUUUUUAAUACUCAAAUUUUUAAAGCCACACCGCAC